Puma concolor (puma) is the source of this 348-nucleotide non-coding RNA. NCBI's taxonomy places the organism in Eukaryota, Metazoa, Chordata, Mammalia, Carnivora, Felidae. The record is from RefSeq and is a predicted model, not a curated record.
GCGGGGCCCGGCGAAGACCAGCCAGGCCCGUAAAAGGCUGGGUGCUGCAGGCCGCCGGUGGGGUCCCGACCUUGAAAGGAAGCGUCAGUGAGCUGUACCUUGGGCCUCUAGGGAAUGAAACGCCGAUCUGGAUUUAUGGGGUGAGGACACCCAAAGAAGGCGGCCAUCUGCAAAUCAAGAAGAGAGUCCCCACCAGACACAGAUCUGUAGAACCUUGAUCUUGGACUUCUGGUCUCCAGAAUUGUGAGGACCAAUGGUUGUUGUUGAAGCCCUCAGCCUAUGGUACUCUUGUUAUAGCAGCUGGAACUGACUAAGACAAUGAUCAAUAAAUAUCAGUGGUUGUUAUUG